Molecule: ribosomal RNA, 468 nt
Filed under: uncultured bacterium
Lineage: Bacteria
Description: partial 16S ribosomal RNA
Rfam family: Bacterial small subunit ribosomal RNA
Source: RNAcentral
GAUGAACGCUGGCGGCGUGCUUAACACAUGCAAGUCGAACGGAAAGGCCCAAGCUUGCUUGGGUACUCGAGUGGCGAACGGGUGAGUAACACGUGGGUGAUCUGCCCUGCACUUCGGGAUAAGCCUGGGAAACUGGGUCUAAUACCGGAUAGGACGAUGGUUUGGAUGCCAUUGUGGAAAGUUUUUUCGGUGUGGGAUGAGCUCGCGGCCUAUCAGCUUGUUGGUGGGGUAAUGGCCUACCAAGGCGUCGACGGGUAGCCGGCCUGAGAGGGUGUACGGCCACAUUGGGACUGAGAUACGGCCCAGACUCCUACGGGAGGCAGAAGUGGGGAAUAUUGCACAAUGGGCGCAAGCCUGAUGCAGCGACGCCGCGUGGGGGAUGACGGCAUUCGGGUUGUAAACUCCUUUCGCUAGGGACGAAGCGUUUUUGUGACGGUACCUGGAGAAGAAGCACCGGCUAACUACGUG